Molecule: ribosomal RNA, 463 nt
Filed under: Vreelandella stevensii
Lineage: Bacteria; Pseudomonadati; Pseudomonadota; Gammaproteobacteria; Oceanospirillales; Halomonadaceae
Description: partial 16S ribosomal RNA
Rfam family: Bacterial small subunit ribosomal RNA
Source: RNAcentral
CCUAGGGAGCUGCAGUGGGGAAUAUUGGACAAUGGGCGAAAGCCUGAUCCAGCCAUGCCGCGUGUGUGAAGAAGGCCUUCGGGUUGUAAAGCACUUUCAGUGGGGAAGAAAGCCUUGGGGCUAAUACCCUCGAGGAAGGACAUCACCCACAGAAGAAGCACCGGCUAACUCCGUGCCAGCAGCCGCGGUAAUACGGAGGGUGCGAGCGUUAAUCGGAAUUACUGGGCGUAAAGCGCGCGUAGGCGGUCUGAUAAGCCGGUUGUGAAAGCCCCGGGCUCAACCUGGGAACGGCAUCCGGAACUGUCAGGCUAGAGUGCAGGAGAGGAAGGUAGAAUUCCCGGUGUAGCGGUGAAAUGCGUAGAGAUCGGGAGGAAUACCAGUGGCGAAGGCGGCCUUCUGGACUGACACUGACGCUGAGGUGCGAAAGCGUGGGUAGCAAACAGGAUUAGAUACCCCAGUAGUC